UGAUGUACAACACUCAGCGCCUCAACUGC
This 29-nucleotide non-coding RNA is filed under the name Rattus norvegicus (Norway rat). The record is from RNAcentral. Lineage: Eukaryota; Metazoa; Chordata; Mammalia; Rodentia; Muridae.